CAACACAUAAAAUAACACCAACCAUUGUCUAUUGAUUGUGACAAUGCUUGUUCCUGUCUCCUGGGACACAUAUGUGAGCACUUUAAGUUGAACUUUGCAAAUGGCUUUCUGAGACUGAGCUUGACCAGAGCUGACCUUAGUUGGAUCAAAGCAGAAAAAAGCAAUAGAUCAGUUCACUGCAAGGCCAAGAGGAGAGGAGGUUUUUACUUCCCCAAGUGGAGGUGAGUCAGAGGAACAAAUUCUAGUCCCACUUCUAACACUAUCUAGCCAGGUCAGCAUACGCAACUCACUUCAAUUCUCUGAACUUCACCCAAUCUCAAAGGGAUGCUGUUGUAACUCAGACAAUGGUGACAUCAAUGAUCCUUCCCCUUAAACUCUAGAUUUUAACAUUGUUUUGCAACCUCAUUCCCUUAAUUGUGGAUAGCCCAUUGUCUCUCCCAAAGACUUGUGAAGAUUAUGGGCAGGCUUCCAUUUCCUUGCCACCUUUGGCUUAAAGCUUUGUCAUUUACUCUUGUCAUGAUAUAUUAUCAGUACAAAAUGAUGUUGCUUCCCAUUAUCCAGACACAGAAACCAUCUCUUCCCCUUGAUUUCCCUCAAACCCACUAACACAAGACCUUUGUAUUUGUAGCAGACUUCUGGAUAUUCAAAUACAAACAAUUAAAAAUAGGAUCUUUAACUUCUUUCUUCUCAAAGUUCAUUAUUGAACAUCUCCUAAGACAGAUCCUCUUUCUCUUCUCUGUUCUCCUCUGAAUUUGUAUUCUUUCUGUUGUAGAAUAGCUUACUCAUAUCUUUUUAGCACCAUCUCCUUCCAACCUCAACUUGCAUUCUACACUGAGUGGCUCAUUGUGGGGGUUCAGUCAGGCUGGUGGGAAAAGUUUUAGUUAUAAUAACCACAAACCCUCUUGGAAGGCCUGAGAGUUUGCAUAACUUUGGUAAUAGAUCUGGCUGAAGGCAGCCAGAGUCCCUUUGCAGGAGCCAGAGAGCUUAGGGUGCAAAUACAAAGGAAUGUAGAGUAGUUUAUCUAACUAACUUGUUUACUCAUGUGGUCCUAAGACUAACCUUUGAUUUACCGCGGGUGCUUAAUUGCUUUUUACUCUGAAAGUCCACAAUGUCAAUUACCCUCUAGUGGUGUUGACUCGAGCCUUUGUCAAUUAAACUUCACUGAAUAAACGCGAGUCUCACUGGCUGGUCAGGGCUGUGGUUACAACUAAGUGGCAUGGAUGCUCAGUAGAACUGGCAAAGCAGAAUAUCUGUGUAUCAGUGUAUUUUAUUCGUCCAUUAUUGGGUCAGUGUCUGCAGGACAGACCCCCCCCCAGAUCAUAAAUGUCAUUCCCUAAGCAGAGAUACCCUCCUCUCUAAAAACACUUCUGGGCUGGGUGUAGUGGUGCAGUCUUGUAUUCCCAGCACUUUGGGAGGCUGAGGUGGGAAGCCCACUUGAGCCCAAGAGUUCAAGGCUGCAGUGAGCUAUGAUCUUCUGACUCUUGUCUUUAGAUAUUAACUGUUUAUAUCUUUAUUUAAAGAACUUACAGUAACAGUAGACAUAACUACUGGCCAAAUUCUCAGGGACUUCUGAGCAUUCAUAAUGCUCAGCACUUAUAAUGCACUAGGAAUUGUGCUGAGAAUUUUCACAUCAGUCAAUUCACACAUUGCCUUCAAAGCUCCCAAACGUGGGGUCGACAUCCUAAACUGAGUUCAACCUGAGGAAUCCAUCAACCUGACUCAUUCUAAGGUCACAUCAUAUAGAGUGGUUUGGAGUUUGGAAUUUGUUCCCACAGGAUUAACUGUAGUGAAAAUAUCCCGAUGUUAUAGAAGAAUGAACAAGAAGAGAAGGAGGAAGAGGAAGAUGAGAUCUAAUGUGAAUCUGACUCAAUUUCUUGCAGAACUAUUUGAGUAAAACUAGCAGUGGAAAUGUCCACAGAUAAAUCAAGAUGUUUCUGACAUAGGAAUAAGAAACUGCAGUUUUCGUUCAAGGGCAAUGUGUCUAUGCUGGAGAGGAAGGCUGGAGAUCGAGCAUAGAAAGGUCUCUGUUCCUGGGGCCUAGUGCAGUAUCCAUGAUUCCUACUGAAGACACAAGGCAAAGGGGUUGCAGAAAAGAACUGUAUAAAUACCUGCUGCAGUAGCUUUAGUGGGAAGAUCAGUGGGUACCACUGCAGAGGCUCCUCUGGUGGGCUGCAGUGGCAGUGCCUUUGCAAACAUUGAUGGAAGUGUUGCCAUUUGGGAAGAACAUUUCAGCAGGAAACAUCGCCAUAGGCAACUCUGGGAAGAAGCUUUGAGAAGAGAGGGGAAAAGGGGACAUUACAAGUGCCUCUUGGAAAUUCCCAGAACAUUCUGUGGGCUGUUUGAGGGGGCUACAUUUUUGCAGAUCAUGUGAAAGUUGAUCCAGAAGAAUACUUUUCGAAGAAUCAGAUGCUGAGGCCCUGACAGCAUGCUUGAUCACAGCUGAAGCAUGGUAGGAACAGCAGCAUCAAGGUAACACCUUAAAAGGAAUAAUCUCCAAGCUGACUCUUGCUGCCUCAAGGGCCAAACUGUGACUUUUGCGACAAGCCCGUGUGAUUUGUAUGUUGGACAUUCAGGGAUAUGGAAUAUGAUGUUGAAAUGAAGUGUUUGUUUUUCUCAUUGAGGUUGUAAAUAAGCAUUAUUAGUCCAGAAUUAUGUUAACGAGGCGGGUGGAUCACCUGAGGUCAGGAGUUUGAGACCAGCCUGGCCAACAU
Molecule: long non-coding RNA, 2711 nt
Filed under: Homo sapiens (human)
Lineage: Eukaryota; Metazoa; Chordata; Mammalia; Primates; Hominidae
Description: novel transcript
Source: RNAcentral